CCUACGGGUUGCACCAGUGGGGAAUAUUGCACAAUGGGCGCAAGCCUGAUGCAGCCAUGCCGCGUGUAUGAAGAAGGCCUUCGCGUUGUAAAGUACUUUCAGCGGGGAGGAAGGCGAUAAGGUUAAUAACCUCAGCAAUUGACGUUACCCGCAGAAGAAGCACCGGCUAACUCCGUGCCAGCGGCCGCGGUAAUACGGAGGGUGCAAGCGUUAAUCGGAAUUACUGGGCGUAAAGUGCACGCAGGCGGUCUGUCAAGUCGGAUGUGAAAUCCCCGGGCUCAGCCUGGGAACUGCAUUCGAAACUGGCAGGCUAGAGUCUUGUAGAGGGGGGUAGAAUUCCAGGUGUAGCGGUGAAAUGCGUAGAGAUCUGGAGGAAUACCGGUGGCGAAGGCGGCCCCCUGGACAAAGACUGACGCUCAGGUGCGAAAGCGUGGGGAGCAAACAGGAUUAGAUACCCGCGUAGUC
RNAcentral lists this ribosomal RNA (465 nucleotides) under uncultured bacterium. RNAcentral's name for it is "bacterial SSU rRNA". It matches the Rfam family "Bacterial small subunit ribosomal RNA", at positions 338 to 795 of the family's 1533-position model. The record is from RNAcentral.